Molecule: ribosomal RNA, 253 nt
Filed under: uncultured bacterium
Lineage: Bacteria
Description: partial 16S ribosomal RNA
Rfam family: Bacterial small subunit ribosomal RNA
Source: RNAcentral
UACAGAGGUCUCAAGCGUUGUUCGGAUUCAUUGGGCGUAAAGGGUGUGUAGGUGGCGCGCUAAGUCGGGUGUGAAAUUUCGGAGCUUAACUCCGAAACUGCAUUCGAUACUGGCGUGCUUGAGGACUGGAGAGGAGACUGGAAUUCAUGGUGUAGCGGUGAAAUGCGCAGAUAUCAGGAGGAACACCGGUGGCGAAGGCGGGACUCUGGGCCGAUACUGACGCUGAGGAGCGAAAGCGUGGGGAGCAAACAGG